Molecule: ribosomal RNA, 492 nt
Filed under: uncultured bacterium
Lineage: Bacteria
Description: partial 16S ribosomal RNA
Rfam family: Bacterial small subunit ribosomal RNA
Source: RNAcentral
AGUGAACGCUGGCGGUAGGCCUAACACAUGCAAGUCGAACGGCAGCACAGUAAGAUCUUGCUCUUACGGGUGGCGAGUGGCGGACGGGUGAGGAAUACAUCGGAAUCUACUUUUUCGGGGGGGAUAACGUAGGGAAACUUACGCUAAUACCGCAUACGACCUACGGGUGAAAGCAGUGGAGCUUCGGACCUUGCGCGAUUGAAUGAGCCGAUGUCGGAUUAGCUAGUUGGCGGGGUAAGGGCCCACCAAGGCGACGAUCCGUAGCUGGUCUGAGAGGAUGAUCAGCCACACUGGAACUGAGACACGGUCCAGACUCCUACGGGAGGCAGCAGUGGGGAAUAUUGGACAAUGGGCGCAAGCCUGAUCCAGCCAUACCGCGUGGGUGAAGAAGGCCUUCGGGUUGUAAAGCCCUUUUGUUGGGAAAGAAAAGCAGCAGGUUAAUACCCCGCUGUUCUGACGGUACCCAAAGAAUAAGCACCGGCUAACUUCGUG